ACCUAGCGGCGAACGGGUGCGUAACACGUGAGCAACCUGCCCCGAAGUCUGGGAUAACCCCGGGAAACCGGAGCUAAUACCGGAUGUCCCCACCGGACCGCAUGGUCUGGUGAGGAAAGAUUUAUCGCUUCGGGAGGGACUCGCGGCCUAUCAGCUUGUUGGCGGGGUAACGGCCCACCAAGGCGUCGACGGGUAGCUGGUCUGAGAGGACGACCAGCCACACUGGGACUGAGACACGGCCCAG
Molecule: ribosomal RNA, 244 nt
Filed under: uncultured bacterium
Lineage: Bacteria
Description: partial 16S ribosomal RNA
Rfam family: Bacterial small subunit ribosomal RNA
Source: RNAcentral